CUGAAGCUCCUUCUGAAAGAGCAGUUGGUGUUUGUUUUUUACUAAAUAGCAAUUGCUCUUUUGGAAGGAACUUGAG
This 76-nucleotide microRNA precursor is filed under the name Pongo abelii (Sumatran orangutan). RNAcentral describes it as "miRNA". The stretch from base 12 to 67 matches the Rfam family "mir-4766 microRNA precursor family". Lineage: Eukaryota; Metazoa; Chordata; Mammalia; Primates; Hominidae. The record is from RNAcentral.